UCCGGAUUGGAAGCCCUGGGGAUCUGAGAGCCCCGCUAAUCUGGGGAUGACUCCUAGGAGUAAAAGACGGUCCACCUUAGUUGUCACGAGUAUCCCACUUUUUGGAAUCCCGCGGCGUUCACGUGUGUGCUACAGAGAAGGGCGCCAGAGGGUAUUCCCUGAAAGUGAAUGGUCGGCGAAAGCGGAGUAAAGACGGCGAGACGCGUCCACGCAGGGAGAGUCUUUGCGGUUUGGAGGAACGCGCCAGUGUCUGCACUGAUGAGGAGCCCCCAAGGGCGGUUUUAAGAGGGUGAAGCAGGGCCGGGCGCAGUGAUUUACGCCUGUAAUCUAAGUGCUUUGGAAGGCCUAGGCAGGAGGAUCUCUUGAGCCCAGGAGUUCGAGAUUAGCCUGAGACCUCAUCGCUACCAAAAUAAAUAAACAAAUAAAGUAGGCAUCCAUUUGUGUAAAACAAACCAUAUAUACACACAGAUAUAUAAACAUUUGUAUAUAUAGGUAUAGGCAUAGUUAUCUAUACCUCGUAAACCAAAAAUAAAAUUGUAAGCCUCCCCAACCAACUGA
Molecule: non-coding RNA, 558 nt
Filed under: Pongo abelii (Sumatran orangutan)
Lineage: Eukaryota; Metazoa; Chordata; Mammalia; Primates; Hominidae
Source: RNAcentral